CGAAUCUUUCAGAGUUCAUCGUUUAGACCAAGGUGAAAGCUGAAACAGAUUGUUUUGGUUGGACUCGAUAGUUGCCAGAAACACGAAGAAUUUGAUUUUCUAUUUUUACGAGUUUAGAAUUUUAGACUUAUGUUAUUUUAGACUUCCGCUGUAGACAUGUGAUUUUGAUGGUUGAUUUUAGAGUAAAUCGUAUUUUUUU
This is a long non-coding RNA of Tarenaya hassleriana, 199 nucleotides long. RefSeq lists it as uncharacterized. The record is from RefSeq and is a predicted model, not a curated record. Lineage: Eukaryota; Viridiplantae; Streptophyta; Magnoliopsida; Brassicales; Cleomaceae. The transcript has 2 exons.